UUUUUUAUAGUUUAAUUAAAACAAAAUACUUUCAUUAUUUAAAUGGAAUUUUUUCCUAGGUAAU
This 64-nucleotide transfer RNA is filed under the name Lepinotus reticulatus. RNAcentral describes it as "tRNA-Glu". Lineage: Eukaryota; Metazoa; Arthropoda; Insecta; Psocodea; Trogiidae. The record is from RNAcentral.